AUACGGAGGGUGCAAGCGUUGUUCGGAAUCACUGGGCGUAAAGGGCGCGCAGGCGGUUUGGUAAGUCAGAUGUGAAAGCCCACGGCUCAACCGCGGAAGUGCAUUUGAAACUGCCAGACUUGAGUACUAGAGGGGAAAGUGGAAUUCCCGGUGUAGAGGUGAAAUUCGUAGAUAUCGGGAGGAAUACCGGUGGCGAAGGCGACUUUCUGGCUAGAUACUGACGCUGAGGCGCGAAAGCGUGGGGAGCAAACAGGAUUAGAAACCCGAGUAGUCC
RNAcentral lists this ribosomal RNA (274 nucleotides) under uncultured bacterium. Its description in RNAcentral is "partial 16S ribosomal RNA". It matches the Rfam family "Bacterial small subunit ribosomal RNA", at positions 523 to 796 of the family's 1533-position model. The record is from RNAcentral.